GUUAGCUUCAGCAGCACACAUAUUAAAAUUGGAAGGAUACAGGUAAGAUUAGCACGGUCCGUGCAGAAAGAUGACACACAAAUUCGUAAGAAAUUAAAAACUGUC
This is a small nuclear RNA of Loxodonta africana (African savanna elephant), 105 nucleotides long. The record is from Rfam. Lineage: Eukaryota; Metazoa; Chordata; Mammalia; Proboscidea; Elephantidae.